GGGGAAGGAUGAGAAGCUUCGACCAAGGUUCGAUUCGAGCGCAGCGAGAAAGCGUUGCCGCAGGCAACGACCCGAAGGGCGAAGCGCGCAGCGCUGAGUCAUCCUUCCCCCACCACCA
This 118-nucleotide small RNA is filed under the name Salmonella enterica. Its description in RNAcentral is "partial RtT sRNA". It matches the Rfam family "RtT RNA". From Rfam's summary of the family: This family represents a bacterial cis-regulatory element known as RtT RNA. The exact function of RtT is unknown although it is thought that it may be involved in changing the cellular response in relation to amino acid starvation. The record is from RNAcentral. Lineage: Bacteria; Pseudomonadati; Pseudomonadota; Gammaproteobacteria; Enterobacterales; Enterobacteriaceae. RNAcentral also lists the same sequence under 3 other names.